AUACGUAGGUGACAAGCGUUAUCCGGAUUUACUGGGCGUAAAGGGCGUGUAGGCGGUCUUGCAAGUCAGAAGUGAAAUUCCUGAGCUCAACUCGGGCGCUGCUUCUGAAACUGCAGGACUUGAGUGCUGGAGGGGAUAGCGGAAUUCCUAGUGGAGCGGUAAAAUGCGCAGAUAUAAGGAAGAACACCGGUUGUGAAGGCGUCGUUCUGGUUUGCAACUGACGCUGACGCGCGAUAGCGUGGAGUGCAAACGGUAUUAGAUACCCCUGUAGUCCUAGGCGAAAACGAUGCUCACUAUGUGUUGGUGGUACCGACGCCAUCAGUUCCGUAGCUAACACAUUAAGUUAUCCGCCUGGGGAGUACGGCCGCAAGGUUUAAACUCAAAUGAAUUGACGG
This 395-nucleotide ribosomal RNA is filed under the name uncultured bacterium. RNAcentral describes it as "partial 16S ribosomal RNA". It matches the Rfam family "Bacterial small subunit ribosomal RNA", at positions 523 to 916 of the family's 1533-position model. The record is from RNAcentral.